RNAcentral lists this ribosomal RNA (1089 nucleotides) under Scinax alcatraz (Alcatraz snouted treefrog). Its description in RNAcentral is "partial 16S large subunit ribosomal RNA". It matches the Rfam family "Bacterial large subunit ribosomal RNA", at positions 839 to 2597 of the family's 2925-position model. The record is from RNAcentral. Lineage: Eukaryota; Metazoa; Chordata; Amphibia; Anura; Hylidae.
CUAGUGAUAGCUGGUUACUCAAGAAAAGGAUUUCAGUCCAACCUAAAGCUUUCUCAAUUUAUAAAAAUACCUUUUACGGCUUUAGAGCAAUUCAAAUAAGGUACAGCCUAUUUGAAACAGGAUACAACCUCAGCUGACGGGUAAAUUUAAAAUCUUAUUACAAUCAAGUGGGCCUAAGAGCAGCCACCUUCAUAAAAGCGUCAAAGCUUAUUUGUACUUCCCCCAACAAAUCCCCUAAGUCACCCUUAACCCUCUAACAGUAUUGAGUAAUUCUAUUCACUUAUGGAACUUACAAUGUUAAAACUAGUAACAAGAAGUAAACCUUCUCUUUAAUGUAAAUAUAAAUCAAAAAGGAUAACCCACUGAUAAUUAACGUCUAUGAGCCCACAUUAACAACUCUACGAGAAAGCCCUAAUGUUUCCUACGUUAACCUGACACAAGAACAUUUCAAGAAAGAUUAAAAGAAAAAGAAGGAACUCGGCAAACUACUAACCCCGCCUGUUUACCAAAAACAUCGCCUCUUGAAUAAAUUAUAAGAGGUCCCGCCUGCCCAGUGACCCCCCAGUUCAACGGCCGCGGUAUCCUAACCGCGCGAAGGUAGCGUAAUCACUUGUUCUUUAAAUUGGGACUAGUAUGAACGGCACCACGAGGGUUAUACUGUCUCCUCUUUCUAAUCAGUGAAACUAAUCUCCCCGUGAAGAAGCGGGGAUACAACUAUAAGACGAGAAGACCCUAUGGAGCUUAAAAUUUUAUUUCAACUGCCGCGCCCAUAAAAGUUCCGACCACCCGUAAUUUACCUCGCACUAUGAUAAUAAAUUUUAGGUUGGGGCGACCAUGGAGAAUAAAAAAACCUCCACAUUGAAUAAAGGCCUCUUAGCCUUGAGCCAAGAGCUACGACUCUAUGUACUAAAACAUUAACACCCAUUGACCCAAUUAUUUGAUCAACGAACCAAGUUACCCUAGGGAUAACAGCGCAAUCCACUUUAAGAGCCCCUAUCGACGAGUGGGUUUACGACCUCGAUGUUGGAUCAGGGUACCCCAGUGGUGCAGCCGCUACUAAAGGUUCGUUUGUUCAACGAUUAAAACCCU